Gorilla gorilla gorilla (western lowland gorilla) is the source of this 106-nucleotide ribosomal RNA. Lineage: Eukaryota; Metazoa; Chordata; Mammalia; Primates; Hominidae. The record is from Rfam.
GUCUAUGGCCAUACCACCCUGAACACGCCCGAUCUCGUCUGAUCUCAGACGCUAAGCAGGGUCGGGCCUGGUUAGUACUUGGAUGGGAGAAAUAACACCGCAUAUC